This is a long non-coding RNA of Chelonia mydas (Green sea turtle), 6764 nucleotides long. RefSeq lists it as uncharacterized. The record is from RefSeq and is a predicted model, not a curated record. Lineage: Eukaryota; Metazoa; Chordata; Testudines; Cheloniidae. The transcript is spliced from 3 exons.
GCUUGGUCCAUCAAUGACUAUGUCAAGAUGCUCAGGGAUGCAACCCCAUGCUCUGGGUAUCCCUAAGCCUCUGACUGCCAGCUGUUGGAGUUGGUGACAGGGGAUGGAUUACUUGAUGGUAUCUAUCCUUUGAUCAGACUGUGGCCACAGUCCACACCUGGGGAAUAAGGGCCAUCAGCAGCUUCACAUGUCAAGUGUGCCUUCCUUCCCUCUAUCCCACCUUUAUAUCUUUCUUUUCCUUUGUGUUCUACUUACCAUGUAUUCUACUUCUUCCUCUCUAUUUCCCCUCUCCUUUCUGCUCCCACUUCUCCAACACUUUAUUAUUCUUUCCUAAAUCACCCCAUCAAUCUUCUCUCAUACUUCUGUCAAAUCUGCUGUAUGUGGAGGACACCUGAAACCAUUGAACACAAAUAAACAUGAGAGGUUGUGUGUGGGGGACAGUGACCAGGGACAAUGCCUAUGUGAGAAUCCAAACUUCUGCUACCAAGCUGCUGGACAAAGGAGAGUGCCGGGAUUCCUGUCAGGGUACAAUCCCUGGAUCGAUCUUAAGGGCUUCAUUUUGUGCAUCAGUCUCCAGCAAGUAGGUGUCUGAGCUACAUGAAGCCGCUUCCCUCCACCAGAUCCUCUAUGGCCGCUGGAAGAGAGGAAAUUUCUCUGCUACUUAAUUUUUACCUUACACGUUCCAGGCUGCAACAAGGAUCCAAAGGGCAUGCACCUCUGCUCAUCUCCUUCCCUUCUCCACCCCUCAUCUCCAAAAAUGUGGAUAGCCAAAUCUAAACGCAGAAUCAGGAGUGAGACCCAUGCAUGGAACUAGGAUUGUAUUGGCCUCAAGGUGAUCGCCUAGCAAGGGUUAAAGGUAAGUCAGUGGAGCUAAAUUGAACCUGCAAAGAAUGUGGUCCAAGGUGUCCAUGCUGAUAGAGCUAACAAUCAAAAGCCAUUCACCACAAGAUAUUUGCUCAUUAGCAGGAUCACUUAGACUGGAUGAAGCAGCUCUUUCAAUGAGUUUGUUCCUACCUCUAAGAGAAGUUCCAAAGGGUAACAUGACAGGAAACUGCUCAUCUUUCCCAAAGCUCCUCAUAGUUAUGGGAUCUUUUAGAAACAUAUAUAUCUAGGACACGGCUAAAGCACCUAACCCCCGUGCUAUCUAAGUUAUCAGUGUUACCCUUCCUGUUCGUGUUAAAUGAAACCACUUUGAAAGAUUUGUGAUGUUUAAGACUACAAUGUCACCAGUACAGAAGGAUAUUCAGCUACAUGCUUCCUUUUUCCUUCAGAUUUUAGUUUCAAUGUUCUUACCAGUAUUUGACAGAUAUAGCCAUCUGGAUAAAGGUGACCUGCCUGCAACUUCUGCUCACAUUGUUACUCAAACCCAGAAGACACAAAAUUUGAAUGCUAUCUGUAAUUUCAGUAUCACAAAUUCAGACAAGCAAACCUCCUUUUCCAUCUCUUUAAAAAAACAGCUAAGUAAAUACAUCUAUAUUAAUCAAUGCAACAUUACCUUUGAGUUUUUACAUGCACAAAAACUACAACAAUUGCAACACUGUAUGGGGUGUGUAAUAUAGCCCCAUUUAAUCAACAUUUGUGUAUACCCCUAAGAUUUCAAAGCCAUGCAAGUCGGUUUUGAGGCCAAGCAGAAUUUAGUUUCUUUACCACACCCAGGAAUUAAUUUUUCAUAGGUGGGCUGUGUCUGUGUUACAUAAAGGCAAAAAUGCCAACACCCCUCUCUGCUUAAAGAACUGUGGAACAAAGAAGAUUUUGCCAACCAUUACUCUGAUCACUCUGCUUGUAUAUCUCCCCCACCCCACCCCCUCGGUCUUGUCCACUUAGUUUGUAAGUUCUGCAGGACAGAACCAUUUCUUCUAUAUAUUUCCAUGACGUCUAGCACAAUGGAGCCCCAGUCUGGCAUUUUAGAGCUGAUGCACAAACAAACAGAUUUCAGGGCUCUGAGGGCACUAUUACGAGGGUAAUAAAAUAUACUGAUUUGUUUAGACUUUUUUAGAAUAUGCAGUAAGGUUAUAUGUAAUGGCUAGAUAAGGAAAUAGAAAUAAUGGGACAGUCAUGUCAAUACUGAUAAAAUAAAGAAUACAGAUUUCAUAAAAGGAUUUUAAGCAUUCACAUAGAGUUUGAGAGCCUUUUUCUAUGAUAUGAAUGUUCCACCAUGAAUGUUUCAGCCACAUCAGCUGAUGUGCACUGAUCAUAUAGAUAUAUUACCCUUUAAAGGCUCUUUGCUACAUUAAGUACAGGUUCCAUGUACUUACCUCAAGAACAUUUAGCUGAUCUAACACAUUCUACAUGUAUAAAGGACUUUUCUAUUUUUAUUAUACCCAGGCGUGAAUUCCUAGGUCCUGAUGAAUACAGAUUUCAUUUGUAUCUCUCUCUACAUCCAUCUACAUUGCAUAUGGUUACGUAAAAAUUUCAGAAAAGGAGACAUUCACAAUCUUCAAUUUUUCUAUUUGCUUACGUAACAAAAGGGGAAAAUUUUUAAAGGAAUAUCUCCUGUCAAAGUAUUCUCUGUCAAGACCUUUGACUCUGAUAUUCACUUUCACUCUAUCCAAAGGAGCUCGUAUUUUGUUAUCCUUCCAGAAAAGGCCCCUCUUUUUAAUCAGGAAUUCAGGCCUCAAUCUCACAACCCUUCUUCAUGAGGCCAAUUCUGUUGAAGUCAAUGGAACCAUGCAUGUAAGUAAGGGCUACAGAAUCAGGACUGGGUGGAGGGAUUGCAGGCUGUAACUGUAUUUUAUAGAAGUGAUUCUGUUUAUCUUGUGAGCAGCUGAUUAUUAAGGGUGUUGAGCAGUUUCAUUGUAUUUACGGGAAUCUUAAUAUUAUGUCAGAGCAUCCACAGCAAACGCACCUGGCUACACUUUUACAAACUGAAAGAACAGGAAGAAGAGCGUGGAGAUGGAAGAGAAAAAGGAAAGGACGGAGAAAAUGUAAAAAGGAAAGAACGGGCAAGAGACUGAAGUGGGGAGCGAAGAGGGAGAGAAAUGAGAUGGAUAAGGAGGUGAGAGGGAGGAGGAAAUGAUGGGAGGAAUAGCGGGGAGAUGGGGAGAAUAGCGGGGAGAAGGGGAGAGAGACAGAACUGAGGGAGAAAAAAAAUGCACAAGAAUAGGCAAAAACUCAGAGAAAGGUGGUAGGGAGAAAACAAAUGAAAAGUAGAAAGCAAACUCUGCCAAAAUAUAAAAAAGGGGUGGGAAAUGAUAGAGGGGAGAGGGAUGAAGGGAGCUGGAUAUAAACCAGCGUGAGAUGCAGCUGCAAUGCUUUUCGAGGUUGAAAUAUAACUCCCCUGCCUCUGCUAAAAACAUAGUGGAACUCCUCCCUCUCUCCCUGACUUAGGGGAGCACUGCUCCCCACUCUUCCUCAGCUGGUGUGGCAAGUGCUCCCCUUCCUGCUUCAAUGUCCUUUACUCACUGACUGCCAGGAUGUAGCAUGACAUGGGGAAGAAAAGGGGGUUCAUUACAAAUACUCCAUAAAUGGGAACUCCUUCCCAUAAAGGUAGGAAACUACGUGCAUGGGGACUGAUCAGAGUGACAUUAAGCAGCUCCAGAGGGAGCUUCAUGCAUUCAGCUAGCCCGAGGCUGGAGUAGCAAUGAAGAUUUGCCUACCGAAAGGUCAGAUAUUACUGCUUGAGGGAUGUCCCUUGUCAGGUAGAAGCUAUUGCUGCUUGGGAAAGAGAAAGGAGAAGGAAGAGAAACUAUGUUCUCAGUAUGAAUGACUGGCAAAGCCCACAAUUCCCCUGUGGCCACACAGACAUUUUGAUUCAGUCAGGUGCAGUGACAGCACACUGGGAUGAAAGCUUGUGUGUGUAUAAAAACAAAUCUAUACACAUAAAGUCCCUUUUCUGAAAAGCAAAACAGAUAGUAUAUUUUAGAAAGAGAAUUGAAUGCUGAAUAUCAAACGUAUCCCAGUAGGUAAAUUAGUAACUCAGACCAAUUUAUAGCACUAAAGAAACAAGCAGCUGUCUCAGAAAUGAAACCAAGAAGGCCUUACCUACAUUAGACCUAUUUUCUCAGAACCCUUGGCCACUAGUGCAGCUCCACCAUUGUAGCAACAAUGAGAGCACCAGAGUUAAUAGUCAUUAGUGGCUGCUGCUGUUUUAACCACCAGGUGACCAACCUGUUUGGAGCAGCAUUAAACAACAAGGUGGUCAAAAAGCAGUCUACACUACCCCUCCCACUGCUGCUACUGAAUCAGUGGUAGCAAUGGCGGGAAAUUUUAAGGAAAUGGGUCUAGUACAGACAACCUAAAAGUACAGCAGUAUUUUUAGUCCUCUUUAAAAUGCGUAUUUCUCAUUUUAGAUGAAGCUAGUUUUGUUCACACGUCUGCUCUUUGGUUAGCCAAUAGUGGAAACGUUUAAUAAGAAGACUGCACAGAACAGCUAGCUGCAAAAUGCAUCACAAUACAUGCAGAUUUCAAGCUCUAAAUGCCUUUAGAAGUGUCUAUACAUUAAGGUUCAAUGGUUUAUGAAUAUCAAUUUAUCAAGUUAUAAAGGUGUAAAUUCUCUCUCAAGGUGCCUGAAUAUCAAAGAGUGAACAGUUCAAUAUCCCAUUACACAUCUGUCAUGAUCACUAUUGGACAGGAUCAUCAGGUGUAUGCCAAAGAUAAAAGCUGUUCAGGCCCUCAAUAUUUCAGAAGGUUUGGUACUGAUGGAAGCUGAACUUUCCAUGAUUUAUUAUGAAGACAUAAACCAAGCUAUAGUAAAAAUUAAAUUAUGAUUUUUUUUUGUAGGAAGCAGUUGGCAGAGGUGUAUUUGUUUUAUACUUAUAUCUAUAUCUUUCUGGUUUAUUAAAUAUAUGUGGAGUCUGUUGUACAUUUGACAAUUUUUAUCAUUUCAGCUUAUUUGUCUAAAUUAGAAGCAUGUAAGAAACCAUCAAUAAUCUCUCCAGUCAGCACCAUUAAAUAUUUUAAUGUGGGUUUGUGGUAACAUAGCUCAUAAUUGCUCAUUGCUAACAUGUCAACUUCGAAGUUUUAUUUAAAGCAGGUACUGUAGAAGGUCUACUUUCAUAAUCUAACAGCACACCAGCAAAAAAAUCAGAGUACUACUUUGGCCCUGUUUACUGUACUAUAUGAGCAUCACUGAAUUAGGGAAGUGCAACUAUCCCAUUUUACAGUGAAUUGAGGCAAGGAGAGAGUAAGGGACUUGCCCAAGGUCUCACAGGAAAUUUGUGGCAAAAGCCAGGACAGGUAAUCUAAACAUUGUCUAGUUCUCCUUUUACUGCCACCAGUUAAACACUAAGGCCAGGUCUACAUUAAAAAAAGUCAAGUCAACUCAGCUAUGUCACCCGGCCACGUCACUCCACAACCCCGAGUGACGUCGUUAAAUCAACUUAAUCCCCAGUGUAGACAGUAGUAGAUCAACGGAAGAAUUCUUGGGCAGUUGGAUUAGCUACGACAGGGAACCCCUCCUGUCACUGUAGAGAGUGUCUACGCUGAAGCACUGUGCUGCUGUACCAGUUUAAGUGUAGACAUAGCUUAAAUUUUCAACGCUGAUUCAUUUUUAUGAAGGGCCAAAACAUACACCCUGGAAACCCAAUUUUAAAAACACAAACAGCUCAGAAUCAGUUGUUCUUCUCUACAUUACCUGUCAAGACCUGAACCUGAAGUUGGGCAUUUCUUCUGCAAAAGAUGUCACAAACAUCUUAAGCAGUAUAAAGAAAUCAGGUUGUUUUUUUUUUUAAAAAGUGUUUGUGAUACAUAACUGUCACAGGUUCUUAUGCUGCUGAAGAUCAACUGACUUUUAAAAAGGUAAUUUGCAAAUUGGCUUGACAAAAAUCCAUUAACUUUGGAAUUAUAUACUGAAUGCCCCCAAAACCAAGGCCAAAUAGGGACACUGAGCAUACAGCUGAUUUUAAAGGUCCCCCCCCGCCCUUUUAUAUAUAUUGCCAUUAAUAUUAAUAUUGUUUUCUGUAAUUCUGAGUAGAUCACAUUUAAUUCUAAUAUAGUUAAUGGACAAUACUGAGUCAAUUUAACAUAAUUCACAGCUCAGAGAUUUAAAGGUAGUUUACAAGUGUGCAUGCUCCCUUUCCUAUCUCACCCCAAAAAUCCCUUUCAUAAUUAUGUUCUGAAUGCCCCAUUCUAAGAGAAGCAAUCUGUAGGUUUGUAAUUUUAAAACAUCCUUUGUUUUUUCUAUAUCCAAAGGCCACAUCGCCAUGUAUCAGUAGCUUUAAAUUCCUUCUCCUGAUACAUUCUGCUGAUGGUCUAACAUCUGCCACUGAACACCAUGGAUAACAUAUCUUGCCAUUAAAGGUUUAAUUUUCAGGCCCUUCAGACUGUUUACUUAGCACACUGUUGGAAAAAUCUGUACAAAUUUUAAAUGUUUUCAAAAACAGCAUUUUUUCUAAACAUUUACAAAACAGUACACUGUUCUAAAAAUAGCUAUGUUACUGCUAGAUACAGAACCCACUUUUCAGAGUGCUUUCCAGUAUGAAGCCACCAGCAGAAUGUAUAUUGUGACAUUCCUCCAAAAGGAAUUGGGAAACCUAGACUUCACAAACCUGAAAAGUUAAAAACAAAACAACAUAUAUUCUAGAUAAUAAAUCUGCUGCUUGCCUCUCUUAUUAAGGUUAUUUGGGGCAUUGAACACAGAAUUCCAGGCUGUGGAGUUCUUUUAAUAUGCAUGUGCAGAGGGGAAAAGAUACAAUUAAAGGGUCUGAAUCUGCAAAAACUUCGGCUAUAUCUACACUGGAGUUUGCAACUGCACUGGUGCAGCUGCACUGCUGCAAGAUCUCUCGUGUAGCUGCUCUAUUCCAACAGGAGAGAGGUCUCCCAUCAAU